Molecule: long non-coding RNA, 273 nt
Filed under: Linum usitatissimum (flax)
Lineage: Eukaryota; Viridiplantae; Streptophyta; Magnoliopsida; Malpighiales; Linaceae
Description: long non-coding RNA (LUSI_LNC000736)
Source: RNAcentral
AACCAUUUAUCUUGGGUUUCCACGAUCAUCGUCUGCUCUUUCCCAGGUACCGGAUGAAAGUCAAUAUGAGUCCAGGGAGAUAUAUACCAAGGCAUUUCGAUACUAACUUCACUCCAAUCUUCUCUUUCACUUCGAUCGUGAAAUUUCCAUAGCUUCUGUGUUGGUGAUGCUCCUGAGUAGAUGCGCACCACCGUUAUACACCCAUCCAGUUCAAUUAACCCGCAGUGGGCGAGCGGUAGACUCCUGGAAAGUGUAAAUUCGGGGAUUUCGAUC